RNAcentral lists this ribosomal RNA (301 nucleotides) under uncultured bacterium. Its description in RNAcentral is "partial 16S ribosomal RNA". It matches the Rfam family "Bacterial small subunit ribosomal RNA", at positions 509 to 809 of the family's 1533-position model. The record is from RNAcentral.
CAGUAGCCGCGGGAAUACAGAGGGUGCGAGCGUUAAUCGGAUUUACUGGGCGUAAAGCGUGCGUAGGCGGCUUUUUAAGUCGGAUGUGAAAUCCCUGAGCUUAACUUAGGAAUUGCAUUCGAUACUGGGAAGCUAGAGUAUGGGAGAGGAUGGUAUAAUUCCAGGUGUAGCGGUGAAAUGCGUAGAGAUCUGGAGGAAUACCGAUGGCGAAGGCAGCCAUCUGGCCUAAUACUGACGCUGAGGUACGAAAGCAUGGGGAGCAAACAGGAUUAGAGACCCCUGUAGUCCCUGUCUCUUAUAA